Molecule: ribosomal RNA, 467 nt
Filed under: uncultured bacterium
Lineage: Bacteria
Description: partial 16S ribosomal RNA
Rfam family: Bacterial small subunit ribosomal RNA
Source: RNAcentral
GACGAACGCUGGCGGCGUGCUUAACACAUGCAAGUCGAACGGAAAGGCCCUGCUUUUGUGGGGUGCUCGAGUGGCGAACGGGUGAGGAACACGUGAGUAACCUGCCCUUGACUUUGGGAUAACUUCAGGAAACUGGGGCUAAUACCGGAUAGGAGCUCCUGCUGCAUGGUGGGGGUUGGAAAGUUUCGGCGGUUGGGGAUGGACUCGCGGCUUAUCAGCUUGUUGGUGGGGUAGUGGCUUACCAAGGCUUUGACGGGUAGCCGGCCUGAGAGGGUGACCGGCCACAUUGGGACUGAGAUACGGCCCAGACUCCUACGGGAGGCAGCAGUGGGGAAUAUUGCACAAUGGGCGGAAGCCUGAUGCAGCAACGCCGCGUGCGGGAUGACGGCCUUCGGGUUGUAAACCGCUUUCGCCUGUGACGAAGCGUGAGUGACGGUAAUGGGUAAAGAAGCACCGGCGAACUACGU